RNAcentral lists this ribosomal RNA (253 nucleotides) under uncultured bacterium. Its description in RNAcentral is "partial 16S ribosomal RNA". It matches the Rfam family "Bacterial small subunit ribosomal RNA", at positions 524 to 776 of the family's 1533-position model. The record is from RNAcentral.
GACGUAGGGCGCAAGCGUUGUCCGGAUUUAUUGGGCGUAAAGAGCGUGUAGGCGGCCCGGUAAGUCCGCUGUGAAAGUCGGGGGCUCAACCCUCGGAUGCCGGUGGAUACUGUCGGGCUCGAGUACGGAAGAGGCGAGUGGAAUUCCUGGUGUAGCGGUGAAAUGCGCAGAUAUCAGGAGGAACACCUAUUGCGAAGGCAGCUCGCUGGGACGUUACUGACGCUGAGACGCGAAAGCGUGGGGAGCAAACAGG